AUGCAGUUCGGCCGCCGAUACCUGUUUGUUAUGCUAGUCAGAGCUAAUGUGGCCUCGAACUGAGAUCUGGCGCGGGUCAGUACAUAAUGACCCCAGACUAUGUGACGACAGGCAUUGUAUCCGACUGGGCCGACCACAGAGAAAUUAAAGAUGAGGGUCUGAUUCAGAGGCAGCUGCAGGUCUUUUUCUGCCGUACAGUGUCCAGCGGUGUUUAAGAUGGCUGAGCUUCAGGCAGCGGUGCAGCGGUGUAAUUGGAAGACGAGGCGCUCCGUUCCUGGCUAGUUAUAUCAGUGAGGUACGGGUCAGACUGGUUUAUAUCAGACCGCUGGCGAUGAAGAACCAAAUCAGACCACCUCAGCCUGAGGGUCAGUGUGUGUGCAUCAGUAGUCACCCUACAUUUAUGCAUAUAUAUGUGAAGCACGUUUGUAAGAUCAGGAGUUUUCCUGCUGUCACUGUCGGUGAUAUCUGUGAGGUAAGGGACUGUGUGUAAAUUCUAGGAUUUCUUUUUUCUUUUUGCCGAGGAUUUGCACUGAAAAUGUAAUGGAAAAAAAUGAAGGACCCUUUGAUAAUUUUUCGUAUCCCCCCAAGGUCCAAUUUGCCAUAUAAGAACAACAAGUGUGUCUCUGAAUUGGAGGUUUAAUGUCCUGAUCAAAAUCAAAUAAAAGCAAAUAUACGUUGAUCUUCA
Long non-coding RNA from Notothenia coriiceps (black rockcod), 685 nucleotides. RefSeq lists it as uncharacterized. The record is from RefSeq and is a predicted model, not a curated record. The transcript is spliced from 3 exons. Lineage: Eukaryota; Metazoa; Chordata; Actinopteri; Perciformes; Nototheniidae.